CAUUAGAUGGCUGAAAGUAAGUGCUGGUCUCUUAAACCAUAAAAUAAUAGAUUAACUACUAUUUCUAAUG
This 70-nucleotide transfer RNA is filed under the name Ochthebius minoicus. Its description in RNAcentral is "tRNA-Lys". It matches the Rfam family "tRNA". Rfam says of the family: Transfer RNA (tRNA) molecules are approximately 80 nucleotides in length. Their secondary structure includes four short double-helical elements and three loops (D, anti-codon, and T loops). Further hydrogen bonds mediate the characteristic L-shaped molecular structure. tRNAs have two regions of fundamental functional importance: the anti-codon, which is responsible for specific mRNA codon recognition, and the 3' end, to which the tRNAs corresponding amino acid is attached (by aminoacyl-tRNA synthetases). tRNAs cope with the degeneracy of the genetic code in two manners: having more than one tRNA (with a specific anti-codon) for a particular amino acid; and 'wobble' base-pairing, i.e. permitting non-standard base-pairing at the 3rd anti-codon position. Lineage: Eukaryota; Metazoa; Arthropoda; Insecta; Coleoptera; Hydraenidae. The record is from RNAcentral.